UCCCCACCUUAUGGAAGUUUUCCAUGUCCUAUAUAACUAUCCCCCGGAAGGGGCACAAAAAUGGUCCCUAACCCCAAAUCCUUCAGGAACCUUAGUUGGGAUUGACGAGAAAAACAGGAAGAGAUAUGGAGCAAACUAACGAAGAGGAAGGCGGGAGGAAAAGUUGGGGAAGAGGCCGUCUUAAAUGCACAUGAUGACUGACAGCGGCCUAGUGUCAGGACAGAUGAAAGCAAGUGGAAGAUGACACUAGACCUAGGUUUCUUGGGCCAGGAUUUAUGGACAUUAAAUCAGUCCCUCCCAGUGUUGUGAAGAGCGUGAAGCGAGGAAAAGCGACAACCCCCAUUUCACGAGAAGCGAGAAGUGAAGCGCUCGAUUUUUUGAAGUGAAGCGGAAUUUAAAAAUAAAAUUAAAAUAAAUACUGCAUAGACAACACAUGUAGUUGUAAGCAAAUGUUCAAUACUUUAAUUAAAAAACUAAAUAGUAGCAUCAAUUAAAGCACAAAAUGAGCAUCCUAUUCUUCUACAUUUGGAUCACCACCGAUUAGAUGUGCUUUUUGACGAUAGAUUUUCCCAUUUGAAAUCUUAUCACAAAAAAGACAUCUAAUGGCCAUCUUGUUGGUCUCGCUAACAGAGUAAGCCCAAACCGGUUCUUUCCUAUCUUCUUUUGGCGCCAUUAAAAGAACAACUACAUAACACAUAAGAAAGGCAAUAAGAACUAAGAAUAAAGGAUAUAAAAAAUUAGAGGAAUUCUCUGUUAAAAACUGGAAAAAUUGGGCAGUAAUUUUCUGGAAAAAAUUUGCCAGCAUUUCGCCUCUUUUUGGACGUUUAGAAAGAAAAAGAAAAAGAAGAAGAAGAAGAAUGAAAAUCAGAAGUUCAGAACAUACCUGUUGAAGUCUUGAACUUGAAGUUGAAGAAGAAGAAGAACAACCCUAGUUGAUGCUUUGAGAUUCUUUCAGAAAUAAGAAGUAGAUGAAGAAGAAGUCGAUGCUGUUGGAAGUUGAAGAACCCUAGUCGUUGCAGUUGAAGAAGUCCAGACCAGUGUUUAAUCCAAAAAACUCGUUUUUAAUAAAAUAGGGUUGGGUAUUUUAAAACAGAAAAGCGGACGCUUCUUCGCUUCGCUUCGCUUUCCCCGCUUCUCGCUUUUUACAGAGAAGGGGUCGCUUUUACUGACCUGAGUCGCUUCACCUUGCUGAACCGCUGCCCUUCACGCUUCGCCUCGCUUCUCGCUUAAAGCGAGGAAGCGAGCGCUUUUUUAAACACUGGUCCCUCCUUAGGCCAAAAGUGCAUAGCCCAUAAUUAUGGAGAUACUGACAAGCUCAAAGUUGUGAUAGAUUUCAGCCCAAUGACAAUAAGGCUAGAGGAAACAAAGCUAGGAGGCCCAAGGAAGAAAUCUAAAAAAUUGACUAGUAGGCCAGCUAAGCCUACAUCUUACGAAUUAGCUACAUCUUACGAGCCCUUUGUUGAAGGAAGCGGUUGUUGCUUCACUUAAGAAAAUGGUUGUCCAACCUAGGCACGACAAGCCGAGGCUCGUGUCACGUCCCAAACUGUCCCUAGAUAUGAUUAGCACACAACACUCCACGCCAGGCGAACUAUAUCCCAUAUAAUUAACCAUUUAUACAAGCACUGGGAGAAAAGAAGAGCAUUAUUAAUAAUUAAAUGCGGAAUAAUCAUCAACCAAAUCCAUAAUCUAUUAAUAGAAAAUCAAUGAUUACUUAAGUAAUAAAACUCUAGCCCAAAUCCCACGCUAAGACAGUCGAGCAUCUAAUAAAGUUAUAUGUGUUUAGCUGGCCGGUAUGCAAACCCAAGGCAAAGGAAAUAAUUGGCAUAAACUAGAUAAAGCUGAAAAGAUGACCUCUAUGAACAAUGCGGUGGCUCACCUUAGCAACAUAAUCAACCCUAACGAAUUCAUCAUCCACUAGCUCUGCCGUCCGCAACAAUAUCUGCAUAGAGAUGCAGGUAAAUAGUGAGUUAUACAUAAAUAUAACCCUGUAAGAUCCUUGACCCGUCCCUUUGAGUACUCAUCGAACAAAUGUUAGAAAAUACAAAUACAACAAGGACAAAAUAAUAUGUGCAAAAAUCAUAUGCAUUAUAAUAUAUCAGCCGAGUAUAAUUAAAAUAUUCAACAAGAGCCUACCACAUCUCAUACAAUUUGCUAAAGACUUGUCAUAUUCGAUGGUGGAGGAAAUUAACCAAACACCCCAACGAGUCUACGACAACAUAUGCUAUGCUCCAAAUCUAUCACGACGGCAUACAUAAUGCCCCAAGUAUAUUACAGGAGCAAAGAAACUAAUUGAACAUUCCAAUGCUAUGGCACGAAGCCAUGCCACACAACCAGUCAAUCAUUAAAUUAUUUCAGCAUUUUAAAUAAAAUAGUAUAUUCGCGGCCAGUCACAGACUACCGAUUCUGCCAAGCACACGCUUGUCCCAACACAUGAACCAGGCCGACAAAAUAUAGUUUAAAAGUAAGCUUUGAAAAGUAAGCGCCAAAGUUUAAAGUCUCACUUACCUCACUUCCGCAGCCUUGCGACGUCUAGAAGGCCAACCAUUUUAUCCAAAUACUAAAUAACACGUCCUAAUUAGUCUAGGUGAAUAAUUUCCACAAUUUUAGGACAAGUCAAAAUCAAAGUCACCCCCGGUCCAAUUAAUUAAAAAUCCGUACACAAAUAAAUGCCAAAUGAGGCACUUUAGCAGUGUACCAAAAUGCCAAAACAGUGGCUUUAGUCAUACCACCAAGCCAGCAUCAUUAUUUUAAUCAUGGCAUCAUGAUGAUUCCUAUAUUCCAAUGUACUUAGUAACAGUAUUUGUGGCAAUGUGAAAUAAGAGGUCUCGUUUUCAAAUUCCUCAUCUCAUAUCUUAUCAUUACAAGCUAUCAAUCAUUAUCUCAUCAUUAGAACCCAAUCAUUAGUUAAUCAUCACCCCUCACGUCAUUACCCAAAUCAUUGGGUAGUCAUUAUUCUUCCUAAAUUUAAAAGAACAAAAAUCAAUACUACAUUUUUUUCACCCAUAGCAGAUUAGCUUUUCAUAUCAAAUUCCACUAACUCAUUAUCAUUUCCAUAUUAUUUACCCCACAAUCCUAAUCAUUAUGUCUCCCACUCAUCAUCAUCAUCAUAUCAUUGAUUCAUUAUUGGCAUCAUUAAUACUUCUUAGAUCAAACUCACUCACUCACUCUCUCUCUCUCUAUAUAUAUGUAUAUAUGUAAAAUUUAUUUUCUUGGGUCUAGGAAGAAAAAACACUCAUAGAGGAAUUCACUGAUGACAUUGCAGUGAAAAUUUCAUAGCUUGAGGUAUUGUAAUUUCAUAUGCUAAUGGGUCAAAGAAAUUACAAUACCUGAAGUUUUGAAAUUUUCAGUGCCCUAACUCCUUAACGUCACUGGUGAAUUUCUCUACGAGUUUGCUUCUUUUCUUCCAAAAUCCAAGGAAAUAAAUUAACCUAAUUUCUACUCCCUAAGCCGCUAUGAUUAAUCAAACUUUCAUUCUCAUCUUCUAUUUUUCCAAAUUGAUGGCAAAGCUUGCUCUGGGCACUUGUGUAAUUUUCGAAGUUUGAUUGUUCUAGUGCCCCUAUCUAUCAUUUAACCUUGAGGGAGUGAAGGAGCAUUAUGUAUUACGGUUUCCUUCUAUUAACUGUCUUGCAACACUCUUUUUUUCCCCUUAUAAUUCCUUUUUCUGGUGGCCCUGUUUGUUUUGUCCUUGGGGGGGGGGGGGGGAGGUGGUGGUGGUGGAGAGAGGUAAGUAUAGAGCUAGCUAUAUGGUGCAGUAUGGUCAGGCUGCAACAGGAGUUAUUUGUUAGUUUCUGACUAGUCUCUUGGUUAAUAGUGAUGUUUUAAGAGUGCUGGGGAAUGUGAAAUAGUUUGCAUUCUAAGUUUUGGGGGGAGGGGGAGCGGCGAGGGUGGAUAAAUAUUGCAGUAGGCUCAGGUGCUGGCAAAGAAGAGAUAUCGCUACUUUUCAAUUUUCCUGACUAAUGUCUUUGUUAAUACUGAAGCGCAAGAGUGAUGAUAAUGUGGAGCUUGUGUAGCUCCUCACCUGAUUAUGGAAGAUACAGUUUGCAUUCUAAGUCAGGGAUGGAGAAGAGUUUUUCUUGAAUAUACUCAGAAUUUCAAUAACAUUUGAGUGCAUGUAACAAUUACUUAGAUCUGAAAUAACGGCAUGUUAAGAUUUAUGAAACAUCGCCGAGAUGAACAAGUUAAAAACUUGAAAUACUGUAUUCUAUCCCUCGAUACAGUACCACUCUUUUACUUUACUCUUAUCACAGAUAAUUGAAAAGAUAUUCACUUCAAAGACAUAACAUGGAUAUGACACUACCGACCCAAAAAAGGGAUGAAAUUUUUAAUUCUUGAAAUAUUGACAAACUCUGAUUUUGGUCAUUGUGAUAUUUGGUUAAGCACAUUUAUCCUUCAACUAAUUGAAGUGUUCACUUUUAAUCCAUCUACUUGUUAAUCUUCACAACUUUAAUGAAUUGUUAAUUGCUAAAAGCAUUUAAUUACCCAUGUGCUAUGUUAAAUUAUAUUGUUAUUCCAUAUUUGAGGGUAACAUAGCUGUAAAAACUAAUCUAACUAUAACUUUUUUCCUAUAUAAAGAGACCAAAAACACACAUUUUAAAUAAAAUGAAGGUUAAAUAUAUUUGGCGUCACAAGGAUCAAAAUAAGAAUUUACCAAUAAUCUAAGUUGCUCGGAGUCUCGGACUCUUUACUUUGGAUGCCGCACUAUGUCGACACAACGUAGGUGUGGGAUCCCAACCGGAUUUGAUCAACCGAUUUUGGGUAUUUUGACAAAAAUCGACUGAGAAAUAUGGGACAGAUAUAUUGAUUUUUGAAAUCAAAACAAAAGUUAGGGUGAAAUUGAAAAAUAUGAAAUACCUUUUAUAUAGAAAUUUCUAUGUGAGACCUUUUCCUUUUAUCUCAUUCUCAGAUUCUCCUCUUGAUCAAUAUUUUCUCCUUCUCGAAAUACCUUGUAAUUUUUUCACCUAAUGUCUCAUAAUCUAGACAUAUUUUUAUUACUCUAUUUUAGAUAUUUGAAAUAUUUUUAGGCAAUCCCGGCACCCGUAAUUGUACCUGCAUCUCUACCCUCACAUCUUAAAAUUUAGAUCAUGAGGGAUUUGACAUCUAGAUCCGCACCCGUAUCGGACACCAGCGCCCGAAUCCGAGCAACUUAGCCAAUAAUUGAGUGAUCAAAUGUGUAAUUAUCCCAAAAAUAAAUGAAGAAAGAACAUUUUACUCCUCCUUCACUGCUCUGUUCUUCCCAGGGUGAUGUUUCCCUCUUUUCAUUUUUUUUGGCGAUUGGAAUAAGGAUCAGAUCAGAGCAGAAAAGCUAGUAGUCGAGUGCUCAUAUAUAAAAAUUCUUGUAGUUGAAAUUUUAUACCCCUUUGACUUGACCCCAUUAAUUAUACUUUUGGGGUCUUUUCUUGUAGGUUAGAAUGGUUCUCUUUGAUCUGCACAUUCUGGUUGCAAAUAUUGACAUUGAUUGCAAUAAAUGAUGUUGUCUUUCAGGAAAGACUUCAGCUAUAUCUGGGUUGCAAGUAGAGCUCAGCUCUUGCUUCUGAUGCUCAUGAAACCCCUCUGAUCAUUCAGGAGCUGACCUCUCAAAUAUAUACAUAACUGCACACCAAUCAGCUACGCCUCAAUCCCAAACAAAUUGGGUUCUCUAUGAAUCCUCACUGACAUGUUGCUCCAUUUAGAUGAAAUAUCAGAGGGAGGGAGGG
Molecule: long non-coding RNA, 5693 nt
Filed under: Nicotiana tabacum (common tobacco)
Lineage: Eukaryota; Viridiplantae; Streptophyta; Magnoliopsida; Solanales; Solanaceae
Description: long non-coding RNA (NTAB_LNC017522)
Source: RNAcentral